AAGAGCGAUGAAGCGUGAGAUUGCAGUUCAUUCCCAGACUGGUAACUCCGUGGAGCAAAUGUCAAGUCUCAGAUACUGGCG
RNAcentral lists this non-coding RNA (81 nucleotides) under uncultured Eubacterium sp. RNAcentral's name for it is "S10-Clostridia ribosomal protein leader". It matches the Rfam family "S10-Clostridia ribosomal protein leader". Lineage: Bacteria; Bacillati; Bacillota; Clostridia; Eubacteriales; Eubacteriaceae. The record is from RNAcentral.